UCCGAGGUGCCGUGUGUUCGAAUGUCUGUGUUGUAGGUAUUUAUUAUUUAGUGUUUUUUUAUAUGCAAGUUUUCUUAUUUGUGAAUUUUUCAAUUUUUGUUGCAAAGUGACAAACACCAUAGACUAUUUUUAUAGAAAGUAGAAAAAUAAUUUUUAGUGAAAAAUGCUCAAAAAUGUACACAUACGAGUGUACGACUGUAAAUCAUCAAAAAUAUUUCGUCGAUACGGUUUUGCAGGCAAAUAUACAGACUAUUGAACUAUAUUAUUGUGACGAUUUACAAAACAAAAGUUGUGGCAUAAAGUUAAAUGUGGCAUCUAACUUGUUAUCUAGACAACUUCAGGACUUAGGAGUUGUGGCCUUCUAUCCAUAUAAACGAUGAGACUAUGCAACUAUACUAAAAGAUUAUCUUCAAGAGUUCAAUACUUCAAUAUCAAGGCCUAAAGGCUAAAAUAAACUUAUUAUGUUUCAAAAGAGAACAAGUAAGAAUAGACCGGGGUGAGUAGCAGACGCCGUUCUCUAAAUGGGAGUUGGCGGUACCAGGGUCGCAUGUGAUAUUGUCGUUCUACUCGCUAUUCUGUCUCGAAAUCGUCAACACGCUGCGGUGGCGACAGGAGUUACUUGUUCAACAAUCAUCACAACAAACGUUCCUGUUCCUUCUGUAAGAGGGUAUGCACGGAUAUUAUGCCACGAUUGUUACUGUAUCCCCAACGGCGCCCCUUUGAGGACUCAGAAUUUGGCGCACCGGGGCAAUUGUCCCCUCUAAAUACGCAACUAG
Metopolophium dirhodum (rose-grain aphid) is the source of this 776-nucleotide long non-coding RNA. RefSeq lists it as uncharacterized. The transcript is spliced from 3 exons. The record is from RefSeq and is a predicted model, not a curated record. NCBI's taxonomy places the organism in Eukaryota, Metazoa, Arthropoda, Insecta, Hemiptera, Aphididae.